Non-coding RNA from Jejuia pallidilutea, 46 nucleotides. NCBI's taxonomy places the organism in Bacteria, Pseudomonadati, Bacteroidota, Flavobacteriia, Flavobacteriales, Flavobacteriaceae. The record is from Rfam.
CAAACGGCUCUAAAAGAGCCACAAUACCUUCACUAGCAGGAUAUUU